This 460-nucleotide long non-coding RNA is filed under the name Physcomitrium patens. Its description in RNAcentral is "long non-coding RNA (PPAT_LNC011720)". Lineage: Eukaryota; Viridiplantae; Streptophyta; Bryopsida; Funariales; Funariaceae. The record is from RNAcentral.
AAAAUCUAAUCAAGAUAAUUCCUUUGAUUACAAUUCCUCUCUACUAAACUUACAACCUUGCGAUAAACAGUGACUGGAAACUUCCAUACGUUCUCAAUCUUUCACAACAAUUGAUAAACAGUGAUCCAUAAACAACUUCAUAAAUCAAACAUUAAUUCAUUAAAUCGAUUCUCUUUACUAGAAUCAAUACUAACACAAAAGAAACAAGAAAAUUAAGAAGAAGAGAUAGCACCAAGCUUAUCCCUGGCUCAGUACUAUCGUAGUCUGGUCCUCGGCUCACAACUCUCACAGUCUGGCAUUUUCUUCCCCUCUCCCAUCCUCCUUAUACUUCCUUGAGAUAUCAACUCCUAUACUACAGAUGAUAACUACUUUUCCUAACUAUUCAUCCAUUCUACCUGCUGUACCCCCUUUUCAGCAGUUAUCUAUCUCUGUUUAUACUAUACAUUAGAUAUCUACAUUU